RNAcentral lists this long non-coding RNA (2345 nucleotides) under Sus scrofa (pig). RNAcentral describes it as "lncRNA (ENSSSCG00050051433.1)". Lineage: Eukaryota; Metazoa; Chordata; Mammalia; Artiodactyla; Suidae. The record is from RNAcentral.
CGGGGGGAAGGAGAGACAAAAUGGUACACAUAUUUUAUCAUAAUUGUUUUUAGAGCUUUCUAUGCAUAGGAAAAACUCUCAAAGGAAAUGCAUGAGGGAUUAGGUAUGGGUGUAGAGAAUGAAAUAGAUUUUUAAAAUAGUUCUUUCUACUUUAUGAGUUUUCUAAAUUUUCUUCAAUUAGAAUGUAUGGCUUCUAUAAUGAAAAUAAUAUUUUUUAAAUGCAACCAUAAAAAGGAUCUCAAGUGGUCUUUCAUGAAUAAGUAUUAUUUGAUAUUUUAGAUGCUGUCAAAAAUUAAGUAUAAUGAAACCAAAAAGAAAUGAAGAGAGAGGGGGAGGAGAAAAAGAAUGAGAAAGGAAAAGAGAAGGCCUCUGGACGAAGAGUCAUGACCCCAGAGACAGGCAUCUCAUCACUGCAACUGACCGUGGCAUAGCUCAGACCUUGUUCCCUUGGAAGCCCCCAGAGGCUCAAAUCUAAGAAAGAACACAGUGCAGUGGUUACAAACACAUGUCUUUUAGCCACAAGAGACAAUUUAGGGUCACCCGGGAGCUUUUAAUACAGGCUGAGUAUUAGAUGAUAUUGGAAUUACUCUCAUUUAAAAAAAAUUUCGCUAGGAUGAUGGUAUUGUUAUUGCGAGUUAUGUAAAAAAAAUGUCCGACCUCAUGUGAGAUCUAUGCUGACAUAUUUAGGUGUCAUCAUCAUCUCCAUAACCUACAUUCAAGUGGUUCAGAAAAAAAGUGUGCGUGUGUGCGUGCGCACACACAAGCGUGUGUGUGAAAAGAAAGCGAGCAAACAUGGCAAAAUGUCCACAACUGCCUGAUCCACUCAGAGGAGAUGUGGAUGUUCAUUACACUGCACCUUCGAAUCUUUUCGUGCGUUUGGUAAUCUUCAAAAUCAAAGUUGAGAUGGACUUUUUAAAAAUCCUUUUGAAAUAGUAAAACAAGUAAAUAAGACUGCAGAAGUAUGCAUUAACAUAAUAAUUAAAGAAUCCAGGUUUUAAAGCCAGAGAUUUCCAUAGCAGUUAUAUGGCUUAAGUACAUUAUAACCUUUGGCAAGCCUUUCUAAGUUUCAGUUUCUUCAUCUAUGAAAUGGUGAUGGUAAGAACACCAACCUUACAGGGUUUUGCGAAGGUGUAAAAGACGAUAGGUGUAAAGCAUCUCUCACUGCGCCUGUCCACAGUUCAUGUGAGUAAAACAAUCUACAAGUGACAUAAAACAGGAGCCUCAUGAAGAGCUGUAGGCCCUUGAGGAAUUCAAGACAAAGGAGGUCUCUCCUUCUAUAGCCCCACUUUCCACAAAAAUACAACUGAGACUGACAUUAAAUGGAAAACUCUAAUAGCUCAGAAGUUUGAAUAUGGUCCAAUCAUGGAAUCAAGUGGGCUCAUAGUCUUCAUUGGUUCUGACCAAAUCUACUCAACCACAGUGGUUUUAUUGUAUUUGGUUUUGUUUGGUUUCGUUGUGUUUCACCACAGUCUUUUUUCUCUACCUCUGACCUAGGGUUCAAGUAAAGGGCAAAGGAGCUGAGAGGUUCAACCCACACAGGAGGCUCUGCUGGGCACCCAGGGUAGUCAGAGCACUCAGAAGCAGAGGACAACCCUGGAUGUCUUGUAUCAGCAUCCUAACAAGACAAAACAACAGCAUUCAACUUAAGCAGUACUGUCAAUGAUGACUAAAUACUAAAAAGUAAAUCUUCAAUAUUUUACCCAUUUGUUGAAUGCUUAUCAUGUAUGCUGAUAACGUGCUACAGAUGCAGAAAUGAAUAAGACAACAACAAGGUCCUACUAUUAUAGCACAGGGAAUUCUAUCCUGUAUCUAGGAUAGACCACGAUGGAAAAUUAUACCAAAAAAGAACAUAUGUGUAUAUAUAUAUAUAUAUAGCCGAGUCACUGCUGUACAGCAGAAAUUGGACAACAUUGCAAAUCAACCAUACUUUUAGUUUAAAAAAGAGAGAGAGAGGGUGUUCCCACUGUAGUGCAGCGGAAAUAAUUCUGACUAGUAUCCAUGAGGACGCAGGUUCAAUCCCUGGCCUUGCUCAGUGGGUCAAGGAUCCAGCAUUGCUGUGAGCUGUGGUGUAGACCAAAGACACAGCUAGGAUCCCACACUGCUGUGGCUGUGGCAUAGGCUGGCAGCUGUAGCUUCGAUUCGACCCCUAGCCUGGGAACCUCCAUAUGCCACGGGUGUGGUCUUAAAAGACAAAAAAUUAAAAAGAGAAAUGAAUAAAAAAGUUGUAAUUGCAAGGAAAUACAAUGCAUUUGCAAUUUAAUUUAUUGCAAGUUCAUGAGAGUGACUUCUCUCUUGAUCUGCAACAUUGCCAAAUUAAACCAAGGUUCAGUUGGCAAAGUUUGCAC